UGGGGAAUUUUCCGCAAUGGGCGCAAGCCUGACGGAGCAACGCCGCGUGAGGGAGGACGGCCUGUGGGUUGUAAACCUCUUUUCUCAGGGAAGAAGAUUCUGACGGUACCUGAGGAAUCAGCAUCGUCUAACUCCGUGCCAGCAGCCGCGGUAAGACGGUGGAUGCAAGCGUUAUCGGGAAUUAUUGGGCGUAAAGCGUCCGUAGGUGGUCGUUCUAGUCUGUUGUCAUAGGCCGCAGCUCAACUGUGGUUGCGCGAUGGAUACUGUAUGACUAGAGUGUGGUAGGGGUAGAGGGAAUUCCUAGUGUAUCGGUGAAAUGCGUAGAUAUUAGGAAGAACACCAGUGGCGAAGGCGCUCUACUGGGCCAUAACUGACACUGAUGGACGAAAGCUAGGGGAGCGAAAGGGAUUAGAUACCCCCGUAGUCC
This 427-nucleotide ribosomal RNA is filed under the name uncultured prokaryote. RNAcentral's name for it is "bacterial SSU rRNA". It matches the Rfam family "Bacterial small subunit ribosomal RNA", at positions 355 to 796 of the family's 1533-position model. The record is from RNAcentral.